RNAcentral lists this ribosomal RNA (542 nucleotides) under Shigella flexneri. RNAcentral's name for it is "partial 23S ribosomal RNA". It matches the Rfam family "Bacterial large subunit ribosomal RNA", at positions 1 to 583 of the family's 2925-position model. Lineage: Bacteria; Pseudomonadati; Pseudomonadota; Gammaproteobacteria; Enterobacterales; Enterobacteriaceae. The record is from RNAcentral.
GUUAAGCGACUAAGCGUACACGGUGGAUGCCCUGGCAGUCAGAGGCGAUGAAGGACGUGCUAAUCUGCGAUAAGCGUCGGUAAGGUGAUAUGAACCGUUAUAACCGGCGAUUUCCGAAUGGGGAAACCCAGUGUGAUUCGUCACACUAUCAUUAACUGAAUCCAUAGGUUAAUGAGGCGAACCGGGGGAACUGAAACAUCUAAGUACCCCGAGGAAAAGAAAUCAACCGAGAUUCCCCCAGUAGCGGCGAGCGAACGGGGAGCAGCCCAGAGCCUGAAUCAGUGUGUGUGUUAGUGGAAGCGUCUGGAAAGGCGUGCGAUACAGGGUGACAGCCCCGUACACAAAAAUGCACAUACUGUGAGCUCGAUGAGUAGGGCGGGACACGUGGUAUCCUGUCUGAAUAUGGGGGGACCAUCCUCCAAGGCUAAAUACUCCUGACUGACCGAUAGUGAACCAGUACCGUGAGGGAAAGGCGAAAAGAACCCCGGCGAGGGGAGUGAAAAAGAACCUGAAACCGUGUACGUACAAGCAGUGGGAGCACG